Molecule: ribosomal RNA, 253 nt
Filed under: uncultured bacterium
Lineage: Bacteria
Description: partial 16S ribosomal RNA
Rfam family: Bacterial small subunit ribosomal RNA
Source: RNAcentral
UACGGGGGGAGCAAGCGUUGUUCGGAUUUACUGGGCGUAACGAGCGCGCAGGCGGUCUCUUUAGUCGCGUGUGAAAGCCCCCGGCUCAACUGGGGAGGGUCACGCGAUACUGAUCGACUCGAAGGCAGGAGAGGGUAGUGGAAUUCCCGGUGUAGUGGUGAAAUGCGUAGAUAUCGGGAGGAACACCAGUGGCGAAGGCGACUACCUGGCCUGUUCUUGACGCUGAGGCGCGAAAGCUAGGGGAGCAAACGGG